UACAGAGGGAGCAAGCGUUGUUCGGAAUUACUGGGCGUAAAGGGCGCGUAGGCGGUUCGAUAAGUCCCGUGUGAAAUCCCUCGGCUCAACUGAGGAAUUGCACGGGAAACUGACGGGCUUGAGUUCGGGAGAGGGAAGCGGAAUUCCGGGUGUAGCGGUGAAAUGCGUAGAUAUCCGGAGGAACACCGGUGGCGAAGGCGGCUUCCUGGACGGACACUGACGCUGAGACGCGAAAGCGUGGGGAGCAAACAGG
RNAcentral lists this ribosomal RNA (253 nucleotides) under uncultured bacterium. RNAcentral describes it as "partial 16S ribosomal RNA". It matches the Rfam family "Bacterial small subunit ribosomal RNA", at positions 524 to 776 of the family's 1533-position model. The record is from RNAcentral.